RNAcentral lists this ribosomal RNA (288 nucleotides) under uncultured Magnetococcus sp. Its description in RNAcentral is "partial 16S ribosomal RNA". It matches the Rfam family "Bacterial small subunit ribosomal RNA", at positions 30 to 334 of the family's 1533-position model. The record is from RNAcentral. Lineage: Bacteria; Pseudomonadati; Pseudomonadota; Magnetococcia; Magnetococcales; Magnetococcaceae.
CGAACGCUGGCGGCAUGCCUAACACAUGCAAGUCGAACGGUAGCAGGCCCUUCGGGGUGCUGACGAGUGGCGCACGGGUGAGUAACGCGUGGAUACCUGCCCUAGGGUGGGGGACAACAGCUGGAAACGGCUGCUAAUACCGCAUACGUCCUAAGGGAGAAAGAUUUAUCGCCCUUGGAGGGGUCCGCGUCGGAUUAGCUAGUUGGUGGGGUAAAGGCCUACCAAGGCGACGAUCCGUAACUGGUCUGAGAGGAUGAUCAGUCACACUGGAACUGAGACACGGUCCAG